CAUAUCAAUAAGCGGAGGAAAAGAAACUAACAAGGAUUCCCCUAGUAACUGCGAGUGAAGCGGGAAAAGCUCAAAUUUAAAAUCUGGCGGCCUCUGGUCGUCCGAGUUGUAAUUUAGAGAAGCGUCUUCCGCGCUGGACCGUGCACAAGUCUCCUGGAAUGGAGCGUCAUAGAGGGUGAGAAUCCCGUCUUUGGCACGGAUGCACCAGGGCUUUCGUGAUGCGCUCUCGAAGAGUCGAGUUGUUUGGGAAUGCAGCUCAAAAUGGGUGGUGAACUCCAUCUAAAGCUAAAUAUUGGCGAGAGACCGAUAGCGAACAAGUACCGUGAGGGAAAGAUGAAAAGCACUUUGGAAAGAGAGUGAAACAGUACGUGAAAUUGUUGAAAGGGAAACGCUUGAAGUCAGUCGCGUCGACCGAGACUCAGCCUUGCCUCGGCUCGGUGUACUUCUCGGCCGACGGGUCAGCAUCAAUUUUGCCCCUCGGAUAAUGGCGAGAGAAAGGUGGCACCCUCACGGGUGUGUUAUAGUCUCCCGUCGGAUGCGAGGGUCGGGAUUGAGGAACUCGGCACGUACCGUGCUUAGGAUGUUGGCAUAAUGGCUUUAAACGACCCGUCUUGAAACACGGACCAAGGAGUCUAACAUGCCCGCGAGUGUUCGGGUGGAAAACCCGUGCGCGUAAUGAAAGUAAAAGUUGGGACCCCUGUCGUGGGGGGCACCGACGCCCGGACCAGACCUUCUGUGACGGAUCUGCGGUAGAGCGUGCAUGUUGGGACCCGAAAGAUGGUGAACUAUGCCUGAAUAGGGUGAAGCCAGAGGAAACUCUGGUGGAGGCUCGUAGCGAUUCUGACGUGCAAAUCGAUCGUCAAAUUUGGGUAUAGGGGCGAAAGACUAAUCGAACCAUCUAGUAGCUGGUUCCUGC
Molecule: ribosomal RNA, 916 nt
Filed under: Russula nigricans
Lineage: Eukaryota; Fungi; Basidiomycota; Agaricomycetes; Russulales; Russulaceae
Description: partial large subunit ribosomal RNA
Rfam family: Eukaryotic large subunit ribosomal RNA
Source: RNAcentral